Molecule: ribosomal RNA, 274 nt
Filed under: uncultured bacterium
Lineage: Bacteria
Description: partial 16S ribosomal RNA
Rfam family: Bacterial small subunit ribosomal RNA
Source: RNAcentral
AUACGGAGGGUGCAAGCGUUAUUCGGAAUCACUGGGCGUAAAGGACGCGUAGGCGGGUUGUCAAGUCAGAUGUGAAAUCCUACAGCUUAACUGUAGAACUGCAUUUGAAACUGCUAACCUAGAGUAUGGGAGGGGGAGAUGGAAUUAGUGGUGUAGGGGUAAAAUCCGUAGAUAUCACUAGGAAUACCGAAAGCGAAGGCGAUCUCCUGGAACAUAACUGACGCUAAGGCGUGAAAGCGUGGGGAGCAAACAGGAUUAGAAACCCUAGUAGUCC